This 498-nucleotide ribosomal RNA is filed under the name uncultured bacterium. RNAcentral's name for it is "partial 16S ribosomal RNA". It matches the Rfam family "Bacterial small subunit ribosomal RNA", at positions 28 to 507 of the family's 1533-position model. The record is from RNAcentral.
GACGAACGCUGGCGGCGUGCCUAAUACAUGCAAGUCGAGCGGACGGAUGGGAGCUUGCUCCCAGACCGUCAGCGGCGGACGGGUGAGUAACACGUGGGCAACCUGCCUGUAAGACUGGGAUAACUCCGGGAAACCGGGGCUAAUACCGGAUAACUCUUUCCCUCACAUGAGGGAAAGCUGAAAGAUGGCAUCUCGCUAUCACUUACAGAUGGGCCCGCGGCGCAUUAACUAGUUGGUGAGGUACCGGCUCACCAAGGCGACGAUGCGUAGCCGACCUGAGAGGGUGAUCGGCCACACUGGGACUGAGACACGGCCCAGACUCCUACGGGAGGCAGCAGUAGGGAAUCUUCCGCAAUGGACGAAAGUCUGACGGAGCAACGCCGCGUGAGUGAUGAAGGUUUUCGGAUCGUAAAACUCUGUUGUCAGGGAAGAACAAGUACCGGAGUAACUGCCGGUACCUUGACGGUACCUGACCAGAAAGCCACGGCUAACUACGUG